GCUCUUCAGAAAAUCUCCCCCACCCCACUGACACAGCCAAAGCCAAAGGCAGAAGGAAAAGCCAAGUAAAGGAGAAUGGAAGCACUCUGGCUGACAUGCCCAGCAGAGUCUCCCACCAACUCCUGCCAACAGUCAACAUCCACAGCCAACCAAUGCAAAUAGUGUUCCAUGAAAAAAGUGGCCAUUUCAACUUACAACUGACUUUCACAUGAGUGCUAC
This 219-nucleotide long non-coding RNA is filed under the name Mustela putorius furo (domestic ferret). RNAcentral describes it as "lncRNA (ENSMPUG00000031748.1)". The record is from RNAcentral. Lineage: Eukaryota; Metazoa; Chordata; Mammalia; Carnivora; Mustelidae.